UUAAACCCAUGUUACAUUCAAUUAUUGUUGAUGUUUAUGUGCCAAUAGUGUAUUGUUGUGUUUGAUGUUUGUAUUAAUAGUUCAUAGGUAGUGAUCACAAUUCUAAUGAGACAAACUAUGACUUCCAUUACAGAAAUUGGGAGCUGACGGCACCAUGGAAUGGAGUGAAAAUCAAGGUGCCGGUAAAAUUCAUUACCGGUGAAUUAGACUCAGUAUACACUUCACUAAACUUGAAAGAGUAUAUACAUGGUGGAGGUUUCAAGGAAGAUGUGCCCAAUUUAGAGGAAGUGAUUGUGCAGAAAGGGGUGGCUCACUUCAAUAAUCAGGAAGCAGCAGAGGAAAUUAGCAAUCAUAUUUACGAAUUCAUCAAGAAGUUUUGAGCUGAUCUGCCAAUAAAAUAAUCAUGCGGAUGAAUGUAAUGUUACGGUUGUAGUUGAAUUAUUCAGUUGAAUUAAUGUUAUGUUAUUAUUAGUUGCAUGUGUUGUAUUUUUGCAAUAAUUGGUCACUUGUACUCCUUUGUUGAAUACAAUGACAUUCUCUGCUUUGAUUCAAUGGCUUAAUUGUUUUAUAUACAAGGCAGUUGUAGCUCACAGCUAACUAACAAAACUAACAAACUUAUACAACAUUUUUUCACCUACUUUCACUUCUAUUACAAGAAAUCAAAUAAUACUAUGCAAGGUUUUCAUCCUAAGUCAUCCCUCAAAUUAACCAAGGACUCAAGUUUUAAUGGUUUAGUGAGGAUAUCGGUCAAUUUAUCUUUGAGUAUUGCAAUGCUUCAAUUCUAUCACUUCAUCCUUGGUAAGAUCUCUUAGAAAAUAAAACCCAACACCAAACACUAAUCUGUUUACAUCUCCCAUACAUAAUGGCGUUCUUUGACAACUUGAGUGAGGAACAAUUAUCACAAAAGAUGAUUGACCAUUUCUUUUGAGGUAUCUUCAAAUGAGCCAAUAUAUUUCUUAACCAAACUCCUCGAUAGACACAUGAAGCAACAACCACAAAUUUUGUUUAUGUGAUAGGUAAUGUGAUGUUUGGUUGUUUCGUUGAGGAUCAUAAGAUUGAUCCAUAACCAAUCUUUAAAACAUAUCCUGGAGUGUUUUUUCUAUCAUCACCAUCACCUGCUUAAUUUGAGUAAGUCCAUCCCGACAAUUGUAGAACAUUUGUAUCUUUAUGUUUGUAUAUAAUGUCAAGAUUCAAUGUGCUUUGUAGGCUUGACAUGCAUUUAUGUAGCUCUCUCCAUGUUUCUAGCCACCAAGCACAAUGAAAAAUCCAUAGAGUUUGGAGAACAUCUCACAUACCUUUAGUACUCAUGAUGUGACUUCAACACUUAGUGCGAAAAUAAUUAUGUUCCCCGUUUUCAAAUCAUAUGAAGUCUUUUUGGUUUCAUCAUCAUUCCACUAUUUUGGAUGUUUAACAACACCGUCAUCGCCCUUGGAAAUAUAUGGUCCCUCGGUGACGACACACCACAAAUUUUGGUCAACCGAUAACAAGUGUACAUACAUGAUUGAUUUCCAAUAUGUAUAAUUUUCGCCUUUGAAAAUCGGUACUCUAUUAUACGCUCCCUAAGGAUCAUUAUCUUCCGACAUAUUCACAAACUUUUGGAUGUCGAUUAGGCACAAGUAAAAUACCAGCUUUUGAUUGUCAAUUGUUUGGUAUGAAUAUGGAAGUGGAAAAACGAUCUAGAGGGAGUGAAUAGACCCAAAUUAAAAAAUGCAACCGGCGUUUUCCAAAAUAAAAUUGUUCUAAAAAAUGAGUUGAGAUAUAAGGUUUGAAGUGAAAAUGAAAAUUAUACAGUUUAAUAUAAUCAAGCUAACACAAUUCGUUUCACAAAUAUCCAAGAUUAUAAUAAUGAAACGCUUGGUAUGAAUUGAUUCAAUUUGUGUAGUUAUAAGGAGUGUACACAAUUGAUCAAUAUGUAGAAUCCUAAUGUUCAAUUUGUUUCCAAAUUUAUCAAUCACAAUACUAGUUUGACUAUUUCUCCAAUUCAAACAAAACCUAAAGCUCUACGUAAUAAAUCGCUAUCAAGAACAAAACGAUAUACUACGAAGGAAUUGAAAAACCUAAGUAUGCAAUCACUACGAAUUUAAAAUGCAAGAGUAAGAGUUAGAGAGAUGACACCGAGAUUUAUAAUGCUUCGGUGUUCGUCCUCGCUUUUCCCACAUGCACUUUUCAAUGGUUUUCCAUUGGAACAUGCAUAGUUCCUUGUUUUUUGACAAAUAUUUCCAAGAGUUCAUUCAGUCACCAAUGCACAAUACAUGUGAGAAAAUAAAUCUUCUAAUUUGGAUCUUGACUUGAAUAGAAUAAACUUGUCAAACCGUUCUAUGUAAUCUUUACUCGAAUAUGUUUCUUGAAUCUUCCAAUAACACCAAUUAUGCUCCAAGCCUUCGUAUGUAGCUAUCAAUCCCUUGAUCCUACCGAUUUCUUGAGCGGUGAAAUUGUCUGAAGAUUGGAGAAGAACUUUACCUUAUCUGUAGCCUUCCACACAAUUACUACUAAAGGAAUGCUGGAGAGAAGAACCUACUUCUUUGCAAUGGAAUUUGUCACAACCAUUGGCAAUUCCUCAAUACUGCUAACAAUCUGAAAAACUAAACAAGAUCUCCAAGAAUGAUUAGUUUCAAUUACGCGUCUCCUUCAAUCAAUAUCAUAACUCUCAUUAUCAAGAUCUGAACUCAAUUGAAGUUGAAGAUUGAAAUAAUUUCGUUGCAAUACUUUGAGCACUCAAAAUAGAGGAAAUUGAUUUCCACUAAGAAUCACACUGAAAGUUAUUAAGAUAAUGAUUGGUGUUAUGUGAAGAAUGAUGACAAAAAGGUUUUAUAUGUGCUUGAGGUGAAACACACAGAAUGGUUGAAAAAAGUUAGUUAGAUUCGAAUCAAGAAAAAUAUGAUUUGGAUCAAAUGAGCAAAACGAGGUGGAGUGAAAGAAAUAACAGUUUUUUUGAAAAAAAUUGACAAUUGAUUCAGAUAAGACAAAUCACAUUUCGAAUCAAAUGCCAUGUGAUUAGAAUCAUGUUCAAAAUUUGAUUCGGAUCAAAUGACACAGAACUGAGAAGGAAUUUUGAAAAAAAAGAUUUGAUUUGAAUCAUGUUAAAAUUUUGAUUCGAAUCAAAUCAAACAUGAAUUUUGAAAAAUGAAAUUGAUUUGAAUCAUGUACAAAUAUUGAUUCAAAUCAAAUCAAACAAAAUUUGUUCCCAGGAAAAUGAUCAGGAUCAAGUGUAAAAUUUGAUAAUAAUAAAAUCACCGAGUUUAGCUUCUAUCCAAUUAGAUAAGGAUUAAUAGUUCAGUGUAAAAUUGAAUGAAUCGAAUAAAUCUUGUAAAAUCUCAAAUUUUCAAAUUUUCAAAUUUUCAAAAGUAUUUUGAGAUUUUAAUUUUGAAUCAAAGUUGAACAAAAACACAAAAUGAUUUCAUCCAGUAACAUAUGCUAUCGAUCAAAGUAUAUUUAGAUCAAGAUCAAAUCUAACCAAAGUUUUACGCAUGCUAAAAAUGAAUCAAAUCAAAUUGGAUUCCAAGAAAUGAAAUCAUGAAGGAGAUUUAACAAAUCGAAAUAAAACAAAGAUAAAAGCGAUAAGACAAACAUCAAAAUAACCGGAUAUAAAAGCCUCCCCUAAGUGAAGUAGGGACAUGCAACUACAUAAUCUUCCCUUCAAUUCCAUAUUUAACAAAAAGAGUAUGCACAUAUAGAUAUCUUUGACAACACAAAUGCAUGAAUCUAUUUGCUAUACCAAGCUCUUGCAGCUUGUAUUAGGCCAUAACAUAACUUUUCUCAACUUGUUAACCAUUUUAGAUACGCCUUUGUGAUAGCUAGUAGCUUGACUUAUAUAGAUAUCUUCGGCUCACCCACCAUGUAAGAAUUCACUUUUUACAUAAAGUUUAAAGACACACCAUGUUUGACUUGCAACGACUGCCUAAAUGAUCCUAAUGGUGUCCUACCUAGCCGCAGGUGCAAAUACUUCAUUAUAAUCGAUGCCAUGCUUACGAGAGUAUCCUUUUACCACUAAUAUAGAUUCAUGCUUCUCCACUUCUUCUAUUAGAGAGUGUGGUAAUUUCCCAAGUGUCCUUAUUCUAUAUAGAUUCUAUUUCAUGAUUCACUGCUCUUCUUCAAAUCUCAAAUUUGACAGCUUCUUCAUAGCUGGCAGGGUCUUCAUUUGAACUAAAAACUGUAAGACUAUGUUGCACUUGAUUUUUUCUCUAUUUUCCAAGAAAGUACAUAAUCAUUAACAUAUUUAGGAGGUCUUCUAAUUCUCCGAGUUGGCUCACCAGACUUAUCAUUGCUUUUUUGACUUACAUUUCCUUCUUCUUCAUGAAUGCCUUCAUUUGCAUAGCCAUCAACCCGGUCUUGUUCUUCAGUUGCAUUCUCUGCUAUACCUGAUAUUUCUUGUUGUUCAAUUUUACUUUCAUAAUCUACAUGCACUUGAGAUUCUUUAAGACCUGUUUGCUUCUUCUUGUUCCAAUCCCAACAUUUUUAUCAAACACAAUAUCUCUGCUGAUAAUUGUUCCGUCUACUGGUUCAUACAAUUUGUAGGCUUUGGAUUAUUCACUAACUCCAAUAUUCAUACAUUUAACACUUUUACCACCGAGUUUCUUUCUUUGUGUGCUAGCAACAUAAGCACGAGACACACAAUCAAGCACUCUAAAGUGAUGUACUUAUGGCUUUACUCCACUCAAUGUUUCUUCAGAAGUCAUGUUCAUGACUGCAAGGGUAAAACCUUUUGAAGAUCACAAUCGGUUGAAGUUCAUUGGUCUUCACAUGAAAUUUAAUACUGAUCACGUAAAAGGCUUUUAUUGUUGUGGUGGAAUUUCUUCUACUGGUAUUCACUAUCAAUUUGAUAGAAAAUUGAUUAAGUUUGAUGUUGAGACUUUAAGAUUGUUUUUGGACUUAAGAACAAAUGAAUGAAAGUGUUAUUAUCCAAUGCUCCCGGCUCAGACCGUGCUCAAUUCGUCAAGAUGGUCUGAAAUACUUUUAUGAAGAGUCCUCUUGACAUAGUUAAUUUUCACAUUAGUCAAAUGAAGUGCACAAUGCGGAUGUUGCACUUGGUAGUUGUUGAGGUGAUGUACAAGAAACUUAGAAACUAAGAUAGGUUUAAUAAACUAGAUCUAUAUCUCAUGUGGAUUUUCUUAGGCAAAAAGAAGUCAACUGGGUGAAAUUUAUUCUGGAUCAAAUGAACACUUGCAGGUCUACUCCAAAGCACCCUCUUUUAUGCACUUCUACCAUUUAGUUCAUGCUUAACUCCAAAAAUGUUUGUCAUGUUCCUGAUGAUAUGUUGGAAGCUCCUAAAGUUUUUGAUGAGGUACUACAAAGAUCAAGAAUGCUAGUUUUAUUUUGAUGUUCAUUGAAAGGUAUAUGAUGAUAAGUUCGUUGCAUGUGAAGAUGCUCCAGAAGGUUAUGUUCUCGGAAGGACCUCUGCUUCCUCCACUCCAUAUGCUCAUCCUUUUUCUCCUUUAGAUGCAUUGCCUCCUACAGUAAAAGCCUAUAUAUAUGUGUGUGUGUUAAUAGCAUUCAGACUUCGGCUCAUAUCAUAUAUGAGCACCUGAUUUCCCAUCUUGAUGUUGAAGCUAGAGUAAAGGAAGACCGAAUAAUUGCUAGAGAAAACCAAAUGAUUGCCUUAUUUGGAAGCAUCAAGGGAAGCCAUUGAGUCUCUUAAGGGUUCAACAUUUAACUUUGAUCUUGAUUUUGAUCCUGCCUCGGUCCAUUUCCAUCUAACCUUCCAUAGACUAUCAUAUCAUAUCAUCAUUAUCAUUUUAGGUUAUUUAUGUUUUCCCCAUCUUAUAUGACUAUUUUGAUCAUUUUUACUAUUUUUGAUACAUUUUAGAUACCGUCGUUACCCGGUUGUUUUGGAUAAUGUUUUGUAUGCCUUACUUUUUCCAUUACUAUGGUAUGGUUGAUGUUUUAUCUAUAUCGUUGUCUGUUAGUUUAACUCUUAUCUUUUCCUUUUUCUGAAAUUAAUAUCGGAGAAAUAGAGAGAAGAGUACUUUUGUUUCAAUAGAUUAUAGCGAUCUCAAUUGUAUGGAAAAAUUAGCUCGUUUAUUAGUUCAAUGCAAAAUUUGCUAUGGACUCAAUUUUAAGCAAUUUUUCCGACCCAAAAUGAAUAUUUAGAACACUGUGGCGUUGAUUGUGUGUUUACAUGUUCAAGUGUGCCAUUUCUAGCUUUAAAUUGCUUUUUUAUUAUAUGGAAUUUCGUAUAGGCUCGUAUGUCAUUUUGGAUUCAUCUUUGUGUAUCGUAUCUGUUUUUGCCUUUAUUUAUUUUUGAUAUUUGUCAAAGGGGGAGAAAGAUUGUAAUAUUAUCGUGAUAUUUAAGCAGAUUAAGUGUUUAAUAAACAUGGAGUUUUGAGAGCUCGAGACUCCAUGUGUGUAUCAUCAAUUACCGUGCGUUUUUGAAUAAGUCAGGAAUCAAUUUCAUCCCAGAUCACAAAUUACAAAUUUCAACAUUCAUUCAAAUCAAAUAACAAUAAUAUCCUAAGUUUUCCCAACAUCAAAACUUGUAUUGCAAUCGGUAUCACUAUUUUGAUGUUUUGUUAAUUAUUUAUCUUUGUGUGUUUCUAACUUUAUUUAUCGUGCUUGUAUUAUUUGUUUGUGAUUUGCGUGUAAUUUUAUACCUAAUUUGUUAGAUAUGUAUCGUAAAAGGCUUCCCCAUUUAUUCCAUUAGAUUUGGAUCCAUAUAAACGCGUCGUAGCCUUUUUACAAUUUGAUACAAGUCAAAAUAUUGAGUGUUACUUGAAUCUUAAGUUAGAAUUAUUAAAUCAAAGUUUUUGGAAGUCUUGACUCGAAUCAGACAUGUUGUAAUUCAAAUUAUGAACUUGUUUGGAAGUGAAGAAUUUGUCUCUUCCAGUCUGACUCAAAUUAGAGAAACUUGUGAUUCAAAUCAUAGUACUUCCUAAUUUGAAUUACAAUAUUGGUGUUUCGAAUCAAAGUCAUUCAAAUUUAUUUAAAACUAAGUGUGAUUCGAAUAACACAUUGCUUAACUCGAAUCACACAUCUAUACUUGAUUCAAAUCACUUGUGACAAACUUUUUCCCUUCACUACCUUUGAUCCAUUUCACUAUUUCUUUGAUCCAAAUCACAAAAACUUAUGAUUUGACUUAAAUCACAUUAUUCUUUUCUUAUCUUUUUGUGCCUUGCCUUUAAAACCUAUUUAAACCAUUUUGUUUCUCUCUUUAAAAGAUGAUGACUAUUGUCACACAAAGAUGGUGGAUCACGUGAUGAGUAAUAUCACAUGUGGUAUUCACAAUUGAGAGGAACUCCUUGAUAAGCCAUUGAAUCUUUCUGAUUUUAAAACCCAGAAAAUUAAUCUAAACCCAAUCUUACUUUGUCAAGAAUCUUGAGAGUAACCAUGAAAAUAUUUAUCCAUUCACUAACAAACUAUCCCCAAAAUUCAAUCUUGUGAGAAACCUUCUAGAAUGUUGAAAGUGUGAGAAUUAUACAACGGUGUUGUGUGAGAUCCUUUAGAUAUUAUUCAUCAUCUUUAACCUCAUACAAAGAAACCAUUGUUAUAGGUCUCAAAUCUAAAGAUUAAGUGUGAUAUGUCCAUUGAGGUAUAUUGGAUAAUGUAAUGUUUUUUGUGUGAAGUUUUGUUGUUUGUAUUAGGAUAAAGGAUCUAUUAUUAUUUACAUUAUUGAUUGGUGCUUAUUAAAAAAGAGAAUAUUUUUAAUCACACUCUAAUGAAGACUUUGAUGGAUUCGAGUAAAGGUUGCCACAGAACAAAGUGGGGAGUUGUCAUCAUUCGGUGAUAGAACAGUGACUCAGACAAGUCUUUUUCAGAUCCGAGUAAAGGAGACUGCAUAAUUGAAGCUUUGAGCAAGUCAAUGGUCUAUCAAAUAUUGUGGAUCAAGAUCAUUGAAGAUCUUGAAUGUUAGAAAUUAAGUAAUCUCCAUCAACGUAAGGAAUUCUUAUUUUAUAUCCGUGUUGGCUAAAGCAUUGGGUUGUUAGUGUUCGAGUUGAUAAUAAAGAAACAUAUGAUAUUUACGUUCACCAUGUUUUGCUUUCGAUCAUUAUCUUUUGCUUCCACGCUUUAACUUUGAUUUUGGAUAAAGUAAGUGUUUUUGUUUUUGUUUGUUUUAAGGGGAAUGAUCUAUUCAAUCCUCUUCUAGACCUUAUUGUAUCUACAUUCUCAUCUAACACUGCUUUCGUGAUAAAAUCCAUGAACAUAAUUGUCACUCCAUCUGGAAUUUGGAUGAUUUCUCCAGGCCAAUGUAUAUGUGCUUGAGAAUGGGUUAUUCUUUAAAAAAGAUUAUCAUACAAAUAUCUUCUUCUUCUAUGUACCCUCUUGAGCCUUCAAGAAGCCCAUAUGUAAUGUAUUGUAACUAUGCCAAAUCAUCAAGAUUAUGUGAAAGACUAUAAUCAUUAAUUUGUAAAUUUCUCAUGCGUUAUAAAGAGAUAUGGUAUCUCCUUGAUAAAACCCUAUAAUAUUAGCUAUUUAAUAAGUAGAACCUCUCGAGAAAGAAUUUUUUGAGUUCACCCCAAGUAGUUAUCACCCCACUUGGUUCUGUUUAUAUCCCGUUAGCUCGUUUUGUAAAGGUUAAAGUGAGAUGAUUUGAGUCCAUAACUCUGUUGCUUUAUCUUGAUUCUUCCUUAUUUUGUUAGGUGUAUAUUUUUUAGUGAAUUUAGAAUCCAUAGGCAAGAUGAAUUGAGUUUGUGUUUCUAAGUGUUGAAAAAAUCCAUGCUCUAUGUAAAUGAAAAAUUGGAUCUUAUUAUCAGAGUUGAUACACCUUAGGAUACCAAAUCUUCACCUUAUUUAUUUCCAACCAAGUCUCCCUUUCUUGGUUUCCUACGGUUGAUUGUGGUUGAUUAUUUUAAUGGUGGCCUCAAUUAACCUUGCCAAAUAUUCUUGUAAUAAUUUUUAGUGCCCGUUGUAACACCUCAAAAUUUGCCCUCCUCUUUUUGGGACUAGCUCAGCAUAUUGCAUUUCAUGUUUUAGGACAUUAGGCAUUUUCAUAUUGCAUAUCAUGUGGAAAUAAUGAAGUCAUCCUCCAAAGUCUUACUCAGGAGAUAGAGAGGUUAAGAGAUUCAUGCCUGAGGGUAUUAUUGAAUUGAUGAUCAAUCAUCUGAGGGUUGCUCUUCAAUUAGGGUUUUCUUGGUCCUUCAAGGAGUUUGAGAAUUAUCUUAUUGGCAAGGGUACAUCAUCAUCAUCAUGGUUAUGUCAUCCUCAAGGGGCUCAUUGUUCAGGCUCAAAUUCUUUGGGAUUAGGGUUUUGACCUCUGGUCAACCCUAAUCAGUUGCAUUCUACCAGUCAGGGUUCCUCAAGGAGAUGGGGUUUAUUUGCUUGGAUAAGGAUCAUAUGAUUAUUAUGUGGAGCUUACAAGAGCUAAGGGUUCAUUUUGGAGCUAAUUCCUCAAGUGGUUAAGGCUCAGGCUGAUCAGGGCAUUUCUAAGUCAUCUGUCAACCAAAAAAGUCAACAGAAAGUCAACUGAGGGCUAGGAGGUGGAGAAAUGAGUUUCAAAAUCUCAUUCAUGUUCAAAAGAGGCUUAUUAAUCAUGUCAAAUGCAUAUCUUGAAGAAUUUGAGGUCAGAUCAAAAGUUUCCAAAAAUGGAAAGUGACCUGUAAUUGAAAGUUUCCAAAAAUGGAAAGAUAAUCAUGUCAAAUGCAUAUCUUGAAGAAUUUGAGGUCAGAUCAAAAGUUUCCAAAAAUGGAAAGUGACCUGUAAUUGAAAGUUUCCAAAAAUGGAAAGUUUUUGGUUCAAAUUCAACUUGAUCUUGUAUCAUCAAAAAAGCUUUAAAUGAAAUUUUGUCCAACAUGAAAGUUGAAGAUCUCUCUCUACCAUUUCCAAAAAGUCCAAGAUCAUGAAUUUAUGAUGAAUGGUUGAGGAGAUAUGAUCAAAUCAUUGUCAAGUGUGCAUGGGACUUCAAAAUGCCAUAUCUUUUGACUCAUAACUCCAAAUUGAGUGGUUCUUUUUGCAAAAUGAUUCUCAUGACAUGAACUUUCCAAAACAUUCAUCACAUUGCAUGAAUUUCCAUCAUAUGAUCAUUUGCUAUUCCAUGCCCAUUUUGGAGGGAUUUUGAAAAUUUAAAAUUGGUGCAUCAUGGGAACUUUUUACCAUUGCCAUUGUGUUUGAAAAAUGAUUUUAAGUGAAUUAGAUCAUGCUUUGGUUACUGUUCACGUUCAUUUACUCGCCACCAUGCAAUUUUCAUAUUUUUGCAAAACACCUUAUUUUUGUUAAUUCCAAAUUAACCUUGCUUAAUUUGAUUAAGAAUGGAUUAGCACAUCAUAUAUAUACAUAAUUGUAACAGAAUUGGGAGAAUUCUAGAUCUAGAUCUCAAAAUCUUUCUUUUCCCUCCAAUUUUUUCUCUCUACCAAAAUUCAAAUUUCUUCCACAUAGCACAUUGAUUUUCUUCCAUAUUCUUGUUCACUGACCCUCAUUUAGUGUAGAUCAAGCAUUGGUUUGGAAGAUUCGAGCAGAAUUUAUGCAUAAUUCAAGGAAGAAUAUGAAGAUGGAAAGUGUUAUUUGAGCAAGAUUUAAGCUUCUCCAAGUCUCAAUUUCAACUUCAAGCUUCAUAACAGUGAUAUAGGAGUGGAUUUACACGCUUGUCAAGCCUUGGACCUGCCACUGCCAUUGUUGGAGCUUCAAGAGGUCAAAAAUUCGAACCUCCUAAUUCAUGAUUUGAUGUGCAUAGAAUUGUAGAGUUUUUCAUGCUGGUUACACUGAUAUAAAAUUUGUAAAAAAUGGAUGAAUAUUGCAUGAGAUAUGUGAGUUUAAAGUUUGUAGAUCUAGAAUGUUUUUGCUCGAAUCUCUUAAUCCAUGGCUUGUUUGGAUUAAUUGUUGAUUGAUCUAUGAUGUACAUUGAAAGAGCUUUUGAAUGAUAUAAUUAUUUCGAAAUUCUGCAAAAAAUUUGUUCGCGUGUUACUGUACAACCGCCGUCUCCACGAAGGAGACGGUUGUUUCCACCGUAGCUCCGCCCUGCCUGUACAGGCUAGGGCAUCUCUGGUUCGUUCAUGUGUUUUGCACUGUAGAAGCGCCUCUCGCAUUGAGAGCGCGCGUUCGAUCCUUCCAUUAGCAUGUGUUUUCUUAAUUCGUUUCCUUGUCACAUGCUUGUGUGUGCAUCCAGUGGACAAUCCAUUGGUCCUUGUUCUUUUGACCAGUCCACGUAGCGCUGACCUGCUGACUGGCACGCCACAUCAAUUAAUGAUGCUGUGCGUUUUGGCCAGCGCUUCUUGGAGCUCCAGGCUGCCAGUUCGAUUCCAGCUUCAUAACAUUGCCAUUUUCUCCAUUCAUUUUUAUUAUUUCUUCAUAUUUCACAUGUUGAUUUCAUUUUAUUCAUGAUACCUCAAAAAUUCAUAUAAAAUUGGAAAAUAAUCCAAAUAAUUCCUGGUUUUUUGCUACUUGUUCAUUAAAAUGUCCUCUAUUUUAUGAUGAUAAUUUCUGAAAUUGUGCAUGGCUGGAUUUUGAAUUGUGUUAGGAUAAUUGAACAUGUGUGCAUUUGGACCUUGUCUCAUUCAUCCUAUCAUAAAAUGCUUGAUAUUGAUCCAAUUGCCAUGAAAUUUUGCAUGAUUGUUCCUAACAGCUGGAUUUUGAAUUGUGUUAGGAUAAUUGAACAUGUGUGCAUUUGGACCUUGUCUCAUUCAUCCUAUCAUAAAAUGCUUGAUAUUGAUCCAAUUGCCAUGAAAUUUUGCAUGAUUGUUCCUAACAUAUUGAUGGAUGUUUGAGGCUUGAUUGUGCAUUUUUCUCAUUUGCCAUUUUUGUUUUAUGCACAUGUUUGUAUGGUGUGACAAUUUGUGUCACACUAUUGGAUGUUCAAAUUGUGCAUUUUCAUAUCCAUAUCAAAUGAGCUUCUCUGUUUAUGAUUUUUGGCAUGAUGAUUGUAUUAGACAUGUUGUGUGUUCACAAAAAUUUUCAUAAUUGUUUGAAUCAUUUCUGUUUUGAUUUUGAAUUUUCAUUCUCAAUGUCCACAUGUAUGCUUUGAAUUUGUCUUUGACUUCUCUUGCUCAUUACAUGACUUUGCCAUUUGAUUUUGAUGUGGUACUUUUUAGGACAUCUUCUUGAGUGAAUGUAGUUGCUUCAUGUUGAAUAUCAAGUUCUGUUUUGACUUUUUGCCCCACCUUUGACCCUAGCCUUUGAGCUAGUGGUUUGUUCUUAUCCUUUGGACUUUGUGUUUCAGGUUUCAAGCAAUUAGCCACAUUGGUUGAUAUGAUCUCAUCACUUGAGAUACAAGCUAUUUUGGUUGACUAACCUUGCUAUUUUGUAGGUCUUUUGGAUGGUGAAUCAAUUUAGUUUGCUUGCAUCUUAGGCCUUGCACCGUUGUUGUCUGAUGAUUGGUUGUUUGACUGUUGUUGAUUGUUUGAUUUGUCUGAAUGUAAAUAUUGACUGGUUUAGCUUUUCUUACAGGUACUUUAGCCGCUUUAACUCAUUAUUUGAGUUGCUUGUUUUGCUUGUGGUUGGCAUACCACUUAGGUAACUUCCUUGAUCUCCAUGUAGUCUGGAAGACCUGUCAUGUUAUUUUGGCAGGCACCUGUCUGAAGCCCUCCUUAAGAGGCAAUGUUUGUGCUUUAUCUUGUGUCCUGUACAUUUUAAAGACCUCCUAAGUGAAGAGGCAUUGGCAGAUAAAAGGGAUGUGCAAUCAUCCCCUGCUAUUCAGUUGUGUUCUUUCAUCUUGCUCACACCAUGUGUUGAUGCACUUUGAAUAAAAACCCAAAAUCUUGUUGUGUCAGUCAUGUGGAAUAGAGUCCCACAUUCUGGACUCCCACACCUUCUUUGAUUCAAGCUCACCCAGGCCCGGGUUAAGAGCUAUGAGGCUUAACUCUCAUCUCCAUUUCAUCUGCUCACCCUAACUCUCAAUGUUAGAGGUUAAGAGCCUGACCACCCUUUCCAGUUGGCUUGUUUGUCAAGGUCGAUAUGACCCCUUGACUAAAGCCCAACCUUGUAUGGGCCACUUGUUUGCAUAUAGCGUGUGAUACCUGUUCACCUGUGUUGCUUACUUGCUGUGUGAUUGACUUGCUGCCUGUGCGAGUUAGGUUUUGUUUAGAUACCUCAACCUAGGACUAUUGUGGAUUGCAUGACAACUUUUAGGCUCGAGUCAGUCUCCCUAUUAGUUUGUUAUUUCCCGGUCUCUAGUUAGGAAAAAGUUUCUCCCCUGUUAAGGGGAACUACGUCGCUCUGAUCCUCAUACCAGAUGAGGUACGUAGGCAGGAGAUCAUGCGAGAUCUCUCCGGGCAACCUUUUAUUUUUCGUGUGUGUUUGCCUGACAGCUAUUAGGCUCGAGUUCCAGACUCCCUAUUAGCUUGUCUGUUUGAUAACCUUUUUUGUGGGUGUUUAGGAUUUGGAUGUCAAGAACCAGGCGAUUGGCAUUCGUUCCUUCUUGUGGUGUGUUUGGAGUCUGAUGUAAGUCCAGUGAUUGGCAUUCGGUUUCCCGUUUGUUUGUUGUGUGCUUGGAGUCUGAUGUAAGUCCAGCGAUUGGCAUUCCGUUUCCUUUUCGUGUUUGUUGUGUGUGGAUUCUGAUGUAAGUCCAGCGAUUGGCAUUCGGUUUCCCGUUUGUGUUUGUGUGUUCGGAGUUGGACGUAAGACCAGCCAUUGGCAGUCUGUUUCCGUUUGUGUGUUUACUUUGACGUCUCAGCGUCUCUGUGUUGUGUUUUGUUUCGGCGUGCGUUAGCCGAACUACGGUAGCUCUGAUUCUCAUUCCAGAUGAGAUACGUAGGCAUAGGAUGCGAUAUCCUAGCAAGCCCGUUCCCCAUUUCCCCGAACUACGUUGACUCUGAUGUUUGUUUCUGACAAACUACGUAGGACCAGGAUGCGACAUCCUGCCGAGUCACCUUCCUCCUUCUUCCAUCUGUGUUUUAUUCCAGCGUGUGUGAAUUCUUUUGAGCAGUUAUUUAGCAACAUUAUUCUAUUCUUUUGAGCGUGGAUCCCGUCGAGUACGACGGACGUGAGGGGUGUUAAUACCUUCCCCUUGCGUAACCGACUCCCGAUCCUUGUAAUCUCCGGUCGUAAGACCAUUUCCUUUCCAGGUUUACUUCACCGUCGAGUACGACGGACGUGAGGGGUGUUAAUACCUUCCCCUUGCGUAACCGACUCCCGAUCCUUGUAAUCUCCGGUCGUAAGACCAUUUCCUUUCCAGGUUUACUUCGAGCGUUUCCUUUCCCUCUCUGGGAUAAAUAAUGCACGAUGGCGGCUCUGUUUGUUUGCUUUUUCCCGCCGGUUGUUUUUCGCGGAUGCGACACCCGUGACGCACAUCAAACAAAUUGGUGGUAGAGACUUUCAUGUGCUAGUCGGCAAGAAUUAGUCGAUAAAUUUUCUAGAUAGAUUCUAAUAGCUGAUCACAGAGAACUUGGGAAGGUUCAUGUACUAGAGCAUGGAUGCUUCCUUCAAUAUCCUUGUCAAAAACUUACACUUGAGGGAAUCCGUCGCACCAAUUACCGUCAAUUGCAUGUUGAUGGAAAUAACAUGCUCCAACACAUCACUCUUCCAAUCAAAUGUUAUCAAGGAAAGUGACUUCAAAUAGUAUAGGAUAAGGGUUUCCCAGAUCUCUGACUUGAAGUAGUAUAGGAUAAGGGUUUCCCAGAUCUCGGCAGAGAGGGGUUAAGGAUCCGUUCUUUUGAAUAGUCAGUUAUUUAGAGCUUUCAUUGCAUUUUACUGUCUUUUAAUGCCAUGUCCCUCCCUUAUCCAGGAGUUGGACGCACGAAAUUCAUGGUCUUUACUAACUACGACAAUUAUAACUAUUAUGUCUUCAUGCAAUUAUUAUCAUGUUUUGUUAAUUAGGUAUUUAGUCCCACAUCAUCAGAUAAGUCGUCACAUGACUCAUGAUUGAGUCAACUCCAUAUGCGUAGAGUUUGAAUUGAUUUUGUGCAGUGAUUGAAGGAUUGAUGGUUUGUGAGAAGAUGUUAGGUGCACUGAUAAAUACUAGAGUUCGAGGAACUAGGGGCCUCCAGAAAUAACAAAGAGAAAGAGAAUUUGGAUAAAAUCUUGCUUAUUUUAUUCAUUCCUUACAUGUCAAUACAUAGAAUAGUUUUAGGAUAGCAAACACGGAAAUAAUGGAAUACAAAAUAAGGAAGAUCUAGAGAAUAUUGCUGCAAGAUUUAGGUGAGCCACUGAUAAGCUGCCACCUCAUUUCCUCCUAACUGAAUUUGUUGAUUUAUCAUGUGAUGAAAUUUUCUAGAUACUUUGGCAUGUGGACUUGUCUCUUGGGCCUUCCCAUUGCAACAUCAUGGGCCACUUCCACUGUGUUUUCUUCAGCCCAUUUGCUAUCAUUCUCCACCCCAUCUGGAAGCACAUUGUCCUCAAGGUGGUAUGCUUGUUUGAGAUUGUCCCAAUCUUCCCAAGAAGUAUCAUCAGCAUGCAGUCCUUCCCAUUGCACGAGCACUUAGAGUGAGGCUCAGCCGUUUGAGUCCAGCGGGUGUUGAGUAUCACUAGAGGAGUGAUGAUGGGUUGAUUAUCUAAUGCUGAUGGAGGUAAUGUCGCUGUUGGAAUUGGGGAAGAAGAGUCUUUGUGAAAAGGUUUCAACAUGGAGCAGUGAAAAACCAGAUGAAUUUUGGAUCCUUGUGGCAAGAGGAGUUUGUAAGCAACACUUCCCACCUUCUCCGGAAUUUGAAAUGGACCGUAAAAACGUUUGCUGAAUUUCGAAUAAAGAGUGACAGUGACGGAAAUCUGUCGAUGUGGUCGUAAUUUAACCAUCACCCAAUCUCCGAUAUUGUAUUGCACAUCCCGUCUAUGUGCAUCAACAAAUUUCUUCAUAUCUUGUUGUGCCUUGGUCAGUUUUCUGCGCAGAGAAAUCAGCAUAGUCUCACGAUUAGCCAACAAUUCAUCAACAACUUCAAUAGUGGAGGUGCCUACCAAAUAUUGCGGAAUGAUGGGUGGUGUUUUCCCAAAAGUAAUCUCAAAGGGAGAUUUUCCAGUGCCUGAGUGUUGAGACGUGUUGUAAGACCAUUCAGCCCACACGAGAAACUUGCCCUAAGUUGCCGGUUUCGAGUGUACAAACGCACGGAGAUACUGCUCAAUGAUCCUAUUUGCCACUUCUGUCUGGCCAUCAGUCUGAGGGUGGUAGGACGAACUCAUACGUAACUUAGUGCCGCUGAGUCUGAACAGCUCUUGCCAGAAUCGACUCACAAAUAAUGGAUCGCGGUCUGAAACCAAGCUACGAGGCAUACCGUGGAUCUUGCCAACAAUGUCCAUAAAGAGUAAGGCAACCUUGUAAGCAGUAUAGUGAGGUUGCAACAUACCAAGAUGAAUGCCUUAGGAAAAAUGGUCAACGACCACUAGGAUUGUGGUGUUCCCUUUGUAAGGAGGUAAACCCACGAUAAAGUCAAGAGAUAAGUCUUCCCAAGGCGCAUGAGGAAUUGGCAAUGGACAGAGCAAUCCAACAACUUUCUUUGUUUCAUAUUUGGAGUGUUGACAGUCCAGACAAGCGAGAACAAACUUAUGGACAUCAUCACGCAUCCUGACCCAUGUAAAGUUUGAGCUUAAGCGUGCCAAAGCCUUGGUGACACCCAUAUGGCCUCCGAUGGGUGUUUUAUGGAAUUCCUCCAACAGAACCUUUAUGAAGGAAGUGGUGCGUGGCAACCAAAUGCGAUCUUUGUGGUAUAUAAGACCCGAAACAAUUUUGAAAUCUUGUGCCCCCUCAGUGUUAUUGGUAAUGUCUUGCAGUUUGGAGAGAAAUUCAUGUUGCUAGGAGAGUUCAUGCUUUAAUGUUUUCAGGAAGGAGAAACUGAGGAUUGACAACAUGUAGAACUCAGGGGACUCAUUUUCUGGUAUGCGAGAAAGGGCAUCUGCAACCACAUUCAUUUUUCCGGAACGAUACUGAAUCGUGUAAUCAUAACCAAUCAACCGUGACAAGUACAACUGCUGUUUUGGCGUUUGUACCACUUGUGACAUCAAUUCCUUUAAGCUGCGGUGAUCUGUCAGAAUCACAAAGGAGUGGCCCAACAAAUAUUGUCGCCAUUUCUUCACUACUGCUGUGAUGGCAAAGAGUUCUCUGACAUAUGUAGACGCGUUCAACAACUUGCGACAAAAUGGUUUGCUAAAGAAAGCAAUUGGUUGGUUCUGUUGAGAUAACACAAUACCCAUGCCGACACCGGAGGCAUCCAUUUCAGAAUUCCAGCCAAAUUGAUCCUUUUUGAGGAGUUGAGUUAAUGGAGCUGCAAUUGUCGCAUAUCCCUUGAUGAGUCGUCGGUAGAAACCUGUCAAACCCAAGAAACCACAAAGAGCUUUGAGAGUGCUUGGUACUGGCCACUGUUGAAUCGCAAGAACCUUCGCUUUAACUGGUUCAACCCCAUGUUGGGAAACAAUGUGACCAAGGUAUUCAAUUUGACGUUGAGUGAACAAGCAUUUUGAUUGCUUGAGAAAAAAUUAUCCCUCCUGUAAAACCUGAAAUGCUUGAUCCAUAUGGUUCAAGUGGUCCUCAUAAUUAGUGCUGUAAAUUAGAAUAUCAUCAAAGAACAUAAUGAUAAACUUGCGCAGAAAUGGCUUGAAUAUCGUGUUCAUGGUAGCUUGAAAUGUCGAUGGCGCAUUGCACAGUCCAAACGGCAUAACCCGAAACUCAUAGUGACCCUGAUGUGUCCGAAAGGCGGUUUUAAAAACAUCUUCCUCCCGCAUAAGGAUCUGAUGAUACCCCUGUAGCAAAUCCAAUUUUGUGAACCACGUAGCCCCACCCAACUCGUCUAACAAUUCAUCAACAGUGGGGAUGGGAAAUCGAUCCUUUAUAGUGAUUGAAUUCAAGGCCCGAUAGUCGACACAAAAUCUCCAAGACCCGUCUUUCUUCUUAACAAGGAGAACCGGCGACGAAAAAGGACUUGUACUCGGUUGUAUCACCCCAUUAGCUAGCAUAGUGUCCACUUGUUUCUCAAUUUCGUGUUUCUGAAAAUAGGGAUAACGAUAGGGACAAACAUUAACAGGAUGGGCCUGGGGUAGUAAGUGUAUGGAGUGGUUGGUCUCAUGAGCAGGUGGAAGGUUUGACGGUAUCUGAAAUAAGGAGUCAUAUUUGUGGAGUAGUGUUUGGACUUUAGGGUCACUGAUUUGGGUUGAAGGGGGCUCUGGUUGUAGAACUUGGAUAUGAAAGAAGGCACUAGCUCUUUUAGUGUGGAGGAGGCGUCACACCUGUUGGGCAAUAAUGAGGUGAAGUCCACCAACUCUCUCACCCCUUAGUUCUAUCAUCUUACCAUUCUUGAGAAACUUCAUAGAGAGAUCAUUAUAGUCAGUAAGAAUCGGACCCAAAGAUUUUAUCCAUUGAACACCUAACACAAUAUCAGCACCACUGAGGGAAAGGACGUGUAGGUCAACGGUGAAUGUGUGAGACUGAAUGUGAAUUUUUACUUGAGGGCAAAUUUGGUGGCACUCAAUUUCAUUGCCAUUACCUACCAUGACCUUGAGAGAGCAAGUGGGUUAGGCCUUCAGCCCAAGAUAUUUAACCAACCUUUCUUGGAUAAAGUUAUGGGUAUUGCCCCCAUCAACUAGGAUAACUGCAUUGGGGGUGGAGAUGCGGCCCACCAGACGUAGAGUUUUAGGGGCCAAGUGGCCCGAAAGGGCAUGGAAACUGAUUUGGGCUUGAUUAAGGGUCGGGUCGGGUUCCGGUUCAAGUAACAACCCAGAUUCACAAGGAUUCAGAAUCAUAUUUGUUUCUUGGGGCUCAUCUUCUUCCAUAAUAAGGACAAUAAAUUUUGAUGCACAUUUGUGACAUAGACUAAACUUCUCAUCACAGUUAAAACACAAACCCUUCUCACGACGGAGAGACAUCUCCGUAGGUGUCAGUCGUUUCAAAUGUGGUACUGGUGGUUUGGGGUUGUUUGGAAAACGGUUAUGUGACGCAGCAGGGGUAGGAAGUAUACCUUUAUUGCGAGCAAACCUGUGAGCUUCAUGGAGUUUCUCUUCCUGCAACCUGGCCAAAGCAGCAACUUGGAUAAGUGAUAGUGGUUGUAACGCCUGAACCUCGCGGCGAACGUCCGGUGCAAGCCCUGAGAUGAAGCAACUUAAGAGAAAGCUCGGUGGGAGACCCACAAUACGAUUUGCAAGCGUCUCAAAUUCUGUUAAAUAUUCGUUGACCGACCCUUUCUGAGUGAGUUUGAACAAUGCGCCAUUGGGAUCGUCGUACUGUGACGAUGCGAAAUGGGCCUCGAGUGCGUGCAGUAACGCCGUCCAACUGGUAAACUGGCCGUUGCGAGACAUCCAUUGAAACCAUCCGAGAUCCGACCCUUCCAUGUAGAAGGAUGCAACUGUCAGUCGUUCUACUUCCGGCGUAUCGUGAUACUAAAAAAAUUGGUUGAUCUUGAAGAUCCAACCCAAAGCAUUUGUUCCAUUGAAGCGAGGCACGUCAAGCUUCAUACGGUGAGGUUUAUUGGAGUUUUGGGGUGAGGUGUAGAACGGAGAUCCGUUACCGGGGGAGUGAGAUGACGUGUCGAGGGAGGAGAGUUUGCCGAGAAUGUCAUCAAUUUUGGAAGAGAAGUUUGAUUGGUGGUUAAACGGGAGAUAGCUCCGUCGAUAACUUUCGAUCGAGUGCCGUCAGCCAUGGAUGAGGUUCAAUGAAAGCACCAAAUUUGUUAGGUGCAAUGAUAAAUCCUAGAGUUCGAGGAACUAGGGGCCUUCAGAAAUAACAGAGAGAAAGAGAAUUUGGAUAAAAUACUGCUUAUUUCAUUCAUUCCUUACAUGUCAAUAUAUAGAAUAGUUUUAGGAUAGCAAACGCGGAAAUAACGGAAUACAAAAUAAGGAAGAUCUAGAGAAUAUUGCUGCAAGGUUUAGGUGAGCCACUGAUAAGCUGCCACCUCAUUUCCUCCUAACUGAAUUUGUUGAUUUAUCAUGUGAUGAAAUCUUCUAGAUACUUUGGCAUGUGGACUUCUCUCUUGGGCCUUCCCAUUGCAACAACCUAACUGAAUUUGUUGAUUUAUCAUGUGAUGAAAUCUUCUAGAUACUUUGGCAUGUGGACUUCUCUCUUGGGCCUUCCCAUUGCAACAUCAUGGGCCACUUCCACUGUGUUUUCUUCAGCCCAUUUUCUAUCAGAAGAAAUCUAGAGCGAUUGAGUUUCAACACCGUGGUUGCAGCGAUGAAGAAAUAGAGGGAACGAACUCCAUUUUGCUGCGAACUACUUGGUUCCAUGGCGAAGAGAUCGGAAGCCGACUCGAUUGGAGGUUGUCGGAGGAAUGACGAGGAAUUUCGUUAUUGAUCAUGGACAUUGAUGACUACGAAGGUAAGUAAUAAUUCUCCGACGAUGAGAUAAUCGAUGUUAAUGGAGAAGAUUGAUUUGAAUAGUGUGUUUUGUGAGGUUGCGAAGGUGUGAAAUGAAAUAUGGUAGAUUAGCGUUCCAAAAUUUGUACGAUCUAAUUGCAAGGAAAUGAGAAUAAGAAAGAAGAAUAACUUUUGUUUUGUUUUUGUGCGUGCAAAAUUUUGAGAUUGAGGGUUUUUGUAGAGAAAUUUUGAGCUAUUGAAUAAUUGAAGUGCGAAGAGAAAUGUGAGAGUUUGGGAAGGAAAAAUUUGGAGUGAUUGAAGUGGUUUGUUUUUUUAUUAAUUUUUAUAUAAGUUUAUUUUGUUUAUUUUUUUACUUGUCAUUAUAAAGUGAAAUUGAGUGCUUUGAUGAAAAUUUAGCAUCUUUUAUUUCAAAUCAUAUACCAAUGGUUGACUUAUAAUUUCACUACUAUAUAUACCAACACUUUUUUUAUGAAAAAUUACUUCUAGUGGUAGUUUUGUGACCACUCCCCCUCAAUGCAUCAUUGCGGCAUAUUCGGGGUAACUUAGAUCGGAUUCACACCCGUCCAUAUUGAUAUUAUUUGUAUCAAUUAAUUGUAUUUUAAAAAAUUAAUUAAACUAAUUAUUUUUUAAAAGAUAGUCCAUGGUCUAAAUGUUUUAUAUAAUUUGAGACGAACAUAGAAUCAUCUAAGCAACUUUUAAAAUGAUAUAUUUUCUCUUUAUAUUUAUAUUUUCCGACGUUCAAACGGAUACACAUCUGUCCGCUUUUUUUAAUGUGUCCAGUAGAGAAAAAUAAAUAUAUUUUUUUAUGAGUUUUUUUUUAUUGUAGGCCGCAUUAAAAAUAAUAUUAUUACACUUUGAAAAUAGUAAACAAAAAUAUUCAAAAUUAUAUCGAAGUAUGCAAAGUAAUAUUAAUAAUGUGUAAUCAAUGUCGUUCUUUAAGAGCAAUGUCGAACAUGAAAUCUCUAUUCGAAGUAUUCUCUUUUUCCCUGCAAUUAUUUUCCGUAGUAAAGAAAAAAUAUAAGACUCUUAAAUUUGAAUUUUUUAGAGAAAAAGAUAGUAAAAUUAAUAGUAAGUAGUGUAAUCAAGUUUUUUUUACCUUAUAAAGAUUCGAAUUAAUUCUUCGUACAUCCCUUUAUCAAUGCGCUCUUGAGAUUUAAAAAACGACAAAUAUAUGACAAAUGUCAUAUCAUCAAAGAAAUACAUUCAAAACAUUUGACUCGUUUGAAUAUAAUAUGGUUUAUUGUGACACAAAUAAUACCUGGAGAAUGAAGAUACUUUGUUUUAGUCUAGAUUUGGUAGAACAACAACUAUGACUUGUUUCUGAAUUACUUGGAUUUCUGUUAAAUAAGGAAAACAAUGAACUUAGUAAAUAUAUAUGGUUUUAUUUACAUAAACCACAAUAGAAGUUAAAUUCAUGCAUUCAAAAAUAUUUUUAAAUGAAUUAAAUAAAAACCUCUCCAUCAUUUGAGAUAUUAUUUCUCUUUUCACCAUUUUCCAAAGUUGUGUUUUAUCUAUUAUCACCUUGGAGCUCCAACCGACAGAGUAAAUUUUCGGACGUUUGACCUAUUUCAAUAAGGAUGAUAAAAAUGUUAGUGAAAGAGUGGUGAAAAUUCAAGAACCCAUUUUUUAUACGUAUUGCGGAAAAGGUAAAUACACCUUAUUGUUGAGUUUGCUGAUGAAUGAAAUACUUUGUUCAUCCUUCCAUGUGUUCCAUUUAUCUUCAAAGUCUUCUAUCUAAAAUUUAUUCACUACAACAAACAAGACCUUAGACAGCGCUUUUUUUAGCCUUAGACAGCGUUUUAAAGCGCUGUCUAAACCUCCGCUGCUAAAGGUUUAGACAGCGUUUUUUUAAAUCUUCUUCCUUUCUUUAAAGCGUUUUUUUAGACAGCGUUUUUUUAAACCAUGGUCAUUACAGCAUUACUAUCUCUCUUCUUCCUUUCUUUAUGUUCUAAAAGAGCUUGAGUAAGUGACAUGUUGCUUACAGUAUCUCCGCUGAUAAGAACAAAAUCUCCUUGUAUCUUCAAAAUAACAAAUUAAACAAAAGUGUUACUACACGAAACUUGGUCCCAGUGAAUUAGUAAAAGGGUGUAAAAUAAGUACAUUAAUAAUCAGUUUGAUGUGUAAGCAGUAGUAAAUAUUUAUAAUAAUGCACAUAGUUAUAAAAACAGAACUACAACCAUAUAAGCUUCUGAUUUUGUUCUUUGUUCCAUUAAAGAAGCUCUACAACUGAGCAUGCAUCUUACAGCUAUGCAACUAAUAAUAAUAAUAAUAAUAAUAAAANGACAGCGCUUUCAUUAUUUUUUUAGAACAUUUUCCGUGUUUUAUUUUUAUUUUAACCUUAGACAGCACUUUCUUUUAAAAGCGCUGUCUAAGAUGCGCUGUUAAAAAACCUUUUUGGCGUAGUGAUUGCAUAAGAAUAGUGAGAAUAAGUAUCACCCAAUUGAUAUAUAACAUAAAAGCAUAAAAUAAAUGAUUAAGUAUAACUUACUUUUAUGUCGGAGCAAGUUUCAAUAUUCUUUCGUCUCAACUCCUUACAUAAUUGAAAGAUUUCACCAUGUUCUAGUUUGGUUGUUGUCGCACCUCAAAAAAUGUGAUUCCUCGCGAUGGUCGCGGAAAAUAUUUAGUGUUCAAACAGAGUCGCCACCGAACUUUAUUUAUCCCAAUGAAGGGAUAGGGAAAUAUUGAUAAAACCUUUAGGAAAUUGAAUAAUGGUCAUCGCAACCAUAUUCGGGUUCGGGAUUGGAUUACAUAAGGGGAAUAUAUUAGCACCCCUUACGUCCGUUGUACUCAACGGGAACCUUUUAGUUCUAAUAUGUGUUUCGAGUGUUAAUUUAUGUUUGUUUGUUAUCUUUGGGUUAUUAAAUAUUAGAAAUUGAAAUGGAUGAGAACCUCAGAAAGGGAAAGGGGAGGUUUUUUAUUAGUGUGCUCGCGAAGAUACAACAAUCUCCUGCCUACGUAUCCUUAUGGUAUAAUAAGGAAAUCAGAGCAUUCGUAGUUCGAGGAACUACGGUUGGUUGGUGUUUUUUUAAUGAACAACUGUUUGGAUCGCAUCCUAAAGGCUAAAUGUUGGCUUGUCUACUCUCGACGGAGGCUUAAACAUUGGUUUGUUGUGCGCAUUAGAAAGGAUUAACAGUGUUCUUUCUGAAAAGAGUUUCAGUCACACGGGGGUGACAAGCUGGAUUAAUAUGUUGGAUAUCUUGUUUAACUAGUUUCGAUCGCACGAGGGCGAGGACAGAUAAAUUUGAUGUGUUGAGACAUUUUGGUUGGAUGAUGAUUACUCGGAUAGUCGAGUAAGACAACUCGUAUCCUAAUAGUCGGGAAAGGGAAUAGAAGACUCUAGACACUACGCCAAAAAUGACUUUUAACAGCGCAUCUUAGACAGCGCUUUUAAAAGAAAGCGCUGUCUAAGGUUAAAAUUAAAAUAAAACACGGAAAAUGUUCCAAAAAAAUAAUGAAAGCGCUGUCUAAGGGGGGGUCUUAGACAGCGCUUUCUAAAAGCGCUGUCUAAGACCCCCCCUUAGACAGCGCUUUUAGAAAGCGCUUUUAAAUAUAGACCUUAGUCAGCGCUUUUGAUAAAGCGCUGUCUAAAGUCUUUAAAUUAAAAAAAAAAUUAAAACCAAAAGCGCUGUCUAAGGGGGGGUUUAGAAAGCGCUGUCUAAGGCAUACCUUAGAAAGCGCUUUCCACAAAAGCGCUGUCUAAGGUCUAAUUAAAAGCUCCUAAUCAGGUAAACCCACACUUUCCACUGCACCACAAGCUCCGACUAUAAUAAAACCCUAAAACGCCCAUUUUCGGGAGUCUUGAGAUUUGGCCGAAUUCUGCUUCUGCUGCUGCCGUGAAGAUGGUGAAAGGACGUCAAGGCGAGCGUGUUAGGUACUCUCUUCAUUUCUUGUUAUGGACUUUCUCGCUCUGGUUUACGUUUUCCUGCACUCGUAGCUUUUGACCUGAUACGAUACCGAAGCUUAAUAUUUUUUUCUGCUAUUUGUUUUGUUUGUUGCUUUUAUAUAAUUUUCGUCCAUGUUUUCGAAGUCUGAUGUUCUGGUUUAGUGAGUAUGAUUGAUGAUUGAUUUAAGUAGGUUAUAGCUACUGUUUUAACCGCGAGAAUUUUUGUGAUGUUUUUAUCAUUGAAAGAUAUCUGAUUUGGAGAAAUUAGCAAACAGUUUAGAGGGAUUUGAAUGAUUUUAGUUCUAGUUUAUAGCCAAUAAGCUUAAUCUUUUGUUUAGAAAAAACGUGGAAACUAUACUUUCAAAUUGGUCUUCUGAAAUCUCCAAUGACAGUAAAAUUAGCUUUUUUUACGGUAAUGUCCAAUGCUAAGCUUCUGUUGUGAAUAAAAUAUUGAAUAAUCUUACUGAGAUAGCGUCUUUUAAUGUUUCCACGAACAUGUAUGCUACUGGAAAAGUAGCUUUCGAAGAUAAGACAGUAUAUGCUUUAGUGCAGUGUACAAGAGAUUUAUCAGCCAAUGAUUGCAGUAUGUGUCUGCAAAGUGCUAUUGGAGAUAUACCAGGUUGUUGCUAUGCCUCCAUUGGUGCACGAGUUUGGAGUCGUAGCUGUUAUUUAAGAUAUGAGUUUUAUCCAUUUUAUCUCGGUGAAACAGAAUCCACAAGUUCUUCAACUAACCAAGGAGGGAAAAGUAAGCAUUUCUUAAGUUUCAACACUGUUCUUUAACAUUCUGUCAAAACCUGUUUUGAUUGAUUUUUUAUGCAGAUAAAUCAAGCAAAAUAUGGAUGAUUACUGCUAUUGCAGUUGGGGUAGUCUUGGUGAUAAUAAUUAUCAUUUUCUACUUAUGCUUUAUCAGAAAUUGGCAAAGUAAGUUGUUUGAUUUAUCAUCUUUUAUCAAGCCCUCAAGCUUAUUUUUUCUUUGAGAUGAAUCUUCAUCUUUUUUAUCCUGUGUUUUGUAACAGUUCUAAUUCAUUUGUUUCUUGUAAUUAGGAAAGAACGGACAAGGUAAUAUAUCUAAUGAUUUCCCUUUUAUUGAUAUUGGUUCUCUUUGCGUGGCUACCAAAAACUUCUCCGAUUCAAAUAAGCUCGGGCAAGGUGGAUUUGGUCCUGUUUACAAGGUAUAUAGAAUUCAAGUUUAUUCACAUUUUUUGUAUGAACGAUUAUCAUCGUAUGGAAGUUUUGUUUCUUUAUUUGCAGGGUAUACUUAGUGAUGGCAUGGAAGUGGCAAUCAAGAGGCUCUCAACUUGUUCUGAGCAGGGUUCAGAAGAAUUCAUUAAUGAGGUUAUGUUGAUAUUGAAACUUCAACACAAAAAUCUUGUAAAGCUUCUAGGAUUUUGUGUCGAUGGAGAAGAGAAGCUUCUUGUUUAUGAAUAUUUGCCCAAUGGUAGCCUUGAUGUCGUCCUUUUUGGUACGUAGUAUAUUCCAAUUUUCACCGUUUUUUAGGAUUAUAUUUAUCAAAUUCGGUACUCAUGUGUUUACAACACUCACAUACGUUGCGCAUCAACCAACUGCGCUAGACCCUAAUGUUUCUUACAUUUCUGUUGAUCCAGAGAAAAGUGCACAUCUUGAUUGGACCAAACGAGUUGAUAUAAUAAAUGGAAUAGCAAGAGGCGUUCUCUAUCUUCAUGAAGAUUCUAGACUUCAAAUAAUACAUAGAGAUCUAAAAGCAAGUAACAUAUUGUUGGACUGUGACAUGAAUCCAAAGAUUUCAGACUUUGGCAUGGCAAGGAUAUUUGCAGGAAGUGAAGGCGAAGCUAACACUACCACAAUAGUUGGCACAUAGUAAGCACUUAGUUCCUUGCAUCAACAUUUUUUUCAUUCCAUAUGUUUACAUGCUUAACAAUUAUAUUUUGCAGUGGAUAUAUAGCUCCAGAAUAUGCAAUGGAGGGUCUAUAUUCCAUAAAAUCCGAAGUUUUCGGCUUUGGAGUACUAUUGCUUGAGAUCAUUACAGGUAUUAUUAUUUUUUAUAGAAACCAUAGAUAAAAUAAAAGUAUAGAAAACGUGAAAAUGUCGAUUACAUCAAGAACAACUAACUAAUGCAACUAACUUUUACAUCUAAUAACAGGUAAACGUAACGCAGGUUUCUGUUACUCCAAAAGCACUUCUAGUCUACUAGCUUAUGUAUGUGUCCAUAAAUUUGUUUGUUCAUGAUAAAGCUCAAUGUUAAAGCUCAAUGUUUGUUCAUAAAUUUGUGUAAUUAAUGUGUACAUUUGUAGUAUAUGUUAUGACUUGUAAAUGUGUACAUAAAUUUGUAUAUAUUUUGAUACAUUUAAGGCAAAAUUGGUUUGAAUUGGUAUAUAUAUAUAUUUGUUAGCCAAAAAUUGGUAGAAAAAAGGCCAAAAUGGCAUAUAUAAAAUGUGAUAAUUGUCUGUCAAAAUCUGGUUGAAAACAGGUAGAAAUUCUGGUUUAUAAACCUGGAAAAAAUGUGGUUUAAAACAAAAGCUUCAAAAAUUUUCGUAUACCUUAGACAGCGCUUUUGUAAAAAGCGCUGUCUAAGGGGGGGAUUAGAAAGCGCUUUAGGCAAAAGCGCUGUCUAAGGGGGGGGCUUAGACAGCGCUUUUUGAAAAGCGCUGUCUAAGGUAUACCUAAAAAAAUUAAAAUAGGAGGGUCUUAGAAAGCGCUUUUGGCCAAAGCGCUGUCUAAGGGGGUGGGGCUUAGACAGCGCUUUUCAAAAGCGCUGUCUAAGGUAUACCUAAAAAAUUUAAAAUAAGAGGGUCUUAUAAAGCGCUUUUGGCCAAAGCGCUGUCUAAGGGGGGGGGGGUCUUAGACAGCGCUUUUAAGAUUUAAAAAAGCGCUGUCUAAACCUUUAGCAGCGGAGGUUUAGACAGCGCUUUAAAGCGCUGUCUAAGGCUAAAAAAAGCGCUGUCUAAGGUCUUGUUUGUUGUAGUGAGACCACUUUCUUUUUCAUUCUUAAUUAUAGAAAGGAUUUGAUAAUAGUUAAAGUGUUUUGAACGGAUGACGAAUACUCGGAUAAUCGAGUAAGACAACUCGUAUCUUAAUAAUCGGGAAAGGGAGUAGAAGACUCUAGACCGCUUUCUUUUUCAUCUGAGUGGUUAUGAAAAUAAGUUUACGUAUGGUUGAUGUAUUUUUAGAAUAGACGACAAGCACUUGAAUGGCUGAGUAAGACAACUCGUAUCCUAACAGUCGGAAAGGGAAUAGAAGACUCUAGACCGCUUUCUUUUUUAUCCUUAAUUACAGAAAGGAUUUGAUAAUAAUUAAGGUGUUUUGAAUGGAUGACGAAUACUCGGAUAAUCGAGUAAGACAACUCGUAUCCUAAUAAUCGGGAAAGGGAGUAGAAGACUCUAGACCGCUUUCUUUUUCAUCCGAGUGGUUAUGAAAAUAAGUUUACGUAUGGUUGAUGUAUUUUUAGAAUAGACGACAAGUACUUGAAUGGCUGAGUAAGACAACUCAUAUCCAAGCAUUUGAGAAGAGGAAUUGAAAACUCAAGACCACCUCCCUUUUCGUACAGUUUAUUAUGAAAGUUAUUUGACUUACAAUAUGAGUUAGCAGAAAAAUGACAAUAGUUCGACUGACCGAGUAAGAGAACUCGUAUUCAAACAAUUGAGGAGAGAAGUUGAAAACUCAAAGUCAUCUCCCUUUUCAUUUAGCUUAUUAUGAAAAUAAUUUGAUUUAAUCAGGUUUAGAAGUUUGUAGAGGAACGACAAUUAUUUGACUAACCAAGUAAGAGAACUUGUAUUCAAAUAGUCGUGGAGAAAAAAUUGAAGACUCAAAGUUAUCUCCCUUUUAGUUUCUUGUUAUAAAAGGAUUUGAUUUGUUUGUGCUUAAAUGGAUUAGAAAUGACGACUAUUUGACUAACCGAGUAAGAAAACUCGUAUUCAAAUAAUCGAGGAGAGGAGUUGAAAACUCAAAACCAUCCCCCUUUUCAUUUUCAAAUGAAGUGUUGUUUAAAUGUGAUUAAGUAUUUUAAUUUAACUUUUAUAAAGAAUAUUCGAUGUCGGAUCGAGGUUUUAAAAUUUGCAUUUUUGUGAAUGAAUUGAAUUUAUUUAGUGGAUAAUCCAUCUAAUUGAUUAAUUAAAACCAAAUAGGUCUCAUUGUAAGAAGGCCCAAGAGUAAGCCAUGUGAGGUUGAUGGCGAUACUUUUACAAGCGAUCGACUUACAAAGGUGUGGAAAUGGUCUUGAUAUUGAAUCAAGAAUUGUGUGAUUUUGAAUGAUUUUAUCAUGGUUCUGAAUUAAUGAGGAAAUGGAAUGAAAUUGAAUAUGUAUUGUAAAAUGAUAGAAACCGAUCAAUUUUUAAUUAUCAAAGUUAAUUGAUUAAAAAUUUGGUUAAAUCACUUAAAUAAUAUAAUCAAAAUUAAUCAUCAAAAUUAUUUGAUUAAAUCAAAUAUUCAAGAUAAUUAAAAUUAAUUAUUAAAAAUAAUUAAUUUAAAUGAAUUUUAAUUAACUAACAUAUAUACUUAGAACAAAAUUGGUUUAAAAAUAAUUGAAACGAAUUAACAAACAAUGUGCUCAAAGUUAGUUUGUACAUAGCAACAAUGGUAUUGACGUGUCGUACGUAAUGGACCAAAACGCGGUGAAAUCGUAUUAAUGUAUCAGAAGUUUAGCAACAUAACGACAUAAAAUUUGCCGAAUCCGCGGUUCAAAGUCCGGAAAAAAAAUCCAUGCAACAUUCCAAUAUUAUUUAAUAUAUAUGCAUCUAGAUCAUCCUAUGUAAGAUAUGUUGAAAUUGUCUAAACUAAAUUUAAAUAAAUCUACUUAAUUAAAUCAAAGAAAAGAGUGAAUUAAACUUAAUCAAUCAAAUUAACCAUUAAGCAAAAUCACUUAACUUAUUUCAAUCAAACUUAAGCAAUCAAAUUAAACAUCAAGCAAAAUCAAUUAACUUGAAAUAAGGCUAACAUUUAAUAAUAAAAAAACAAUCAACCAUCUAAACAACCAGUUAAAUAUUAGAAAGAAGAAAACAAAGUGAUGUAGCUAAGAUAAAUGGGUUCAAACACUAGAUCCAAGUCAGCCCCAAAUUCCAAAUCAAUUUUCGGUACACACGCCACACAUCCUACUAGUGAUAAUCACAAAGAUAAAAAAAGAAUUGUAAAAGCUUCCUGGUAUGCAGUAUCAUGGAAAUUUGGUUUUCCAAACACACUUAAAUAUGACAAAUUCAUCAUUUUCAUAGACUAAUUAAAAGAGGUAAAAAGCCACCGUAAAACAAAAUCACAAUGUUGUAGCUUUCGGCUUUGCUUAUUAAUUCAAAAGAAACUAGUUCCUGAUGACUAGAAAUGUCAUACUCUUCUCAUUCAAUUAACUCCUGAAUCAACUAUAAUAGGAAACCAAAACUUUUCAAGACAUGGAUGACUUCAAUAACACUUAAAGCACAAACAGAAUGCAACAAAACUGCAAUAGAUAUUAUAGCAGCCCUAUAUAGCAAAGGCAAACUAGAAUAGUUCAUGUAUUUACAUAACUGCAACAGAAUUGAAACGAUUCGUAGUCGAAACACAUAAUACAUUGAAUAUGUAAUCCAAAUAAAUUGAGACCGACACAGAUGUUAUAAUAGUAACAAAAUAUAUCACCUAAGCAUGAUAACUUAAGAUUAUAUACAGGGUUGCUGCAAUAUCAACACAAAUAUAGCAUUCAGCCUGAAACGCAUUCCGACAUAAAAGUAUAUGGAUUUGAAACAGAUCUACACAACAUAGCUAAUACGGUAAGGGAAUCAUAUUGAAACAGAAACAAAUAUCAAAGCAAUACGAUAUAAAACUUGAUCGAAGUGUUACCGUAAUGUCGAAUUUGUUGUUGGAAGUAUCGAACUUGCCACCAUUGUGCGUGUCUUCUUGAUAGCGUUGGCUUUGUUCGCAGCAACUAUUGUCUUGCGUAGAGACGAAACCAAGUCUAUUCCAAAAGUGAGUUGAGCUUUGCGUUAUUGUGUUUGGACAUUCUCCGGAACCGUGCGAAAGAGUUGGCGGUGGUGACGGGAGUUGAGGCGGAGAAAAGGGUGUCGGCGUGUUCACGGUGAUGGUGGUCGCCGGCGAAACAGUUUAUAAAAAAGUUUGGGUUUGGACGUUGUUGUCGGAAGAUUUGGCGGAGGUGUGGAUGGAUGUUGUGGGUUUCACGGCGGAAAGAAACGAAAAUGAGUCGUGGAUGUUGAUGAUGGUUCAACGGUUCGAAUUUUGCAGAAGCAAUUUGUGGAUAAGAUGAGAGUAGAGAACUCUGAUGGAGGGAGUAUUUCGGCCGGUGGUUUGAAGCUCGACGAAGGGGAUACCAACGGUGAAGGUUACUGUUGUUGAAGGAAGAGAGAGGAAAGGGAUUUUUCUUUUUCUUUUUAAUGAGCUGAGAGAGUGAUGGAGGAGUGUGUGGUAUCCAAUGAGAGUUGUGAGUGAGUGCCUUUAAUGAGAGAGGAAAUGUGUAGGAAGUGUGAAGAGUGGCGUGUGAGAGGAGAGAAAGUGAGGAGCGGAAAUCUUAUGAGAAGAUUUUGGUGAGGUAACGUGUUAGGAGAAGAGAAAAAUGAUUUUCUUUUAAUUUUAUUUUCCUUUUCUUUUUAUUAAUAAUUCUAAUAUUAAAAAAGAAAAUAUUCAUUAUAAAUAGAAGUCGGAUGUGAAUUUGCUCGAAAAAUUAAAUAAGACACACUAAAAUGAUUAACAUAAAAUAUAUUUAUUGAAAAAAUACAGCGUUUCUUCAAAUUCUGAAAUAAGUUUGCACCGAUUAAAAGGCCCAGGCAGGUCAUAACGUAACUGAAACAACUUCUGAAAAUUACGACGAGCACACCAGGUUAAACUAUAUGAACGGAAGAUUAAUAAUACUGGUCUCUGUAAUUUUAAUUCUGAAACUUUUUACCCGCUGAUUUUACAUGUUCUUGAGAAAUGAUUUAACCAAUUUGUCUGUAUUUUCAAUAAAUUUAAAGACUGACUAUAAAAUCCAAAAUAAGUACUACUAAUGCAUGUCAUGCUGUGCGUAUGAUGCAAAUUAAAAAUGAAAUCAGAUUUACGAAAAUUUAAAUAUGGCCGGACAAAAUUGGGGUAUGACAGUUGUAUAUUAAAGCAAAAGAAAAUUAUAUUUAGUUAUGAUAUAGAGAAUACAAUAUAAGUUUGAUAUGUCGUGUAACCAAAAUGGGAAUCAAUGUGUGUGAAAUUUUUUUAAUGUACUUAAUAAAUACCCGCAGGUGCAAUAAAAGAAUUUGUUUGAAGACUACAUUUUUUGUGUAGUCACCAUCUUCUCCUUUCAAUUUUCCUUCCAUAGUUAAAACUCUUGUCGUAGUCUGUGAAACACCCCUGGAUAAAUCCACACAUAACUGUCCAUGACUAAAAAUAUGUCGUGGAAGAUAUAUUCCAACAUUUAGAAUUGUUUGUCCUUGUGAUUUAUUUAUUGUAAUUGCAAAACUUAGUCGCACAAGAAAUUGCUUUCUACUAAGGACAAAAGGCAAUUCAUCACUUGCAGAUGUUUUUAUUUUAAUUUUGGGAAAAAAACACAUUUUCCUGCGUUGUUUCCUGUCAAAAUUUCUACAUCCAACAUAUUCAUAAAUAAACCACGACAUAAUAACCAUGUCCCAUUACACAAUCCAUAUCUAGGAUCUAGAUUUUGUAACAACAUCAAUGGUGCACCCUUUUUUAUCUUUAGAAUAUGUGGUGGCAAACUACCUUGUGCAAUUGAGUUUAAGAAUUCUUGCUGGUAUAAAUUAUGAUUAUCUCUUUCAACCUCGUCAAACGACAACAAAUUAUGUUCUCCUGGAAACUGGUCGAUAAUCAUAUCAUUCAAUUUCUGGACAUCAUCAUUUGUUGGUGUCAAAAUAGCUCUUUGUACCAUAUAUGAGGCAUCCCAACCAUGCAAUUCUAAAUAAGGAAAAAUAUGUUGAAUAAGUACUUGUAUGAAAUGUUCACCUUCCCAUGGGAUUGCAAUAUGUGAAGCUAACCUCAUCAUAUCAUCUGGUUUGGUAGGUUCAACACCAUCACCAAUGCGAAUAAGAAAUUCUGCAAACUCUUGAUCAUGCAAUGAUCGCAUAUUUUGACGCAAACGCAAAAUCUUGGUAUGAUUCCAUAAAUGAGACUAGGUAGGUUCAACACCAUCACCAAUGCGAAUAAGAAAUUCUGCAAACUCUUGAUCAUGCAAUGAUCGCAUAUUUUGACGCAAACGCAAAAUCUUGGUAUGAUUCCAUAAAUGAGACUGAACAAUACACACUAAAAUCAUUUGUGCCUUAGUAUCUUUUCUUACAACAGGAAGAACUUGAUGAAAAUCUCCCCUCAUGAUUAUAACUUUUCCACCAAAUGGAGCAUUAUUUCUACAAAUGUCUUGUAAUGAUCGAUCUAAGGCUUCUAAGAUAUUUUUGCUUUUGAAUACUACAAAUGGAACUCGGUUGUAUAUUAAUAGAUAUCUUAAAUCAAGAGUGUGCAUUCCUACCACUGGGUAACAAUGUUGCAGCUAUACCAGAUGAUGCAGUUGCUAAGACAAUUUCUCCUCUACUUCUUAAACUUGCCAUUAAUAUUCGAUAAAGAAAUGUUUUACCUGUUCCUCCUAGACCAUCAACAAAAAAUACCCCAAUGUGUUUUUGAACAAUUACAUUCAUAAUGGUUUUGAAUGCAAUCAUUUGAUCAUUAUUUAACUUAGCAACAAAUUCAAUAUCUUCAUUAGGGAUAUCGACCACUAACUCCUCUUGUAUGAUACUUGGAAUUGCAUCUCUGUCUAUUGUACUAGGGGGUAAAAAUGGGAGAUCAUAAUCUUCAAUUUUUUUACCGUGCAGGUUUAGAGUUCAUUCAAGUCCUUCAACAACAUAUUAGUCAAGUUUGAUUCCACAACAUUCUUAGUUGUUUGAUAAUCCUCUGUCAUAUGUGUAAAAAACUCAUUCCAAAGGCCUCUAACAUCAGUAGGUUCAUAAAAUAUUAAAAUCUUCACGAAUAACCUUCGUAAAGCAUAUGGAAUUCGGAGACUCGUAGCAUCAACUAAACAAUCACGAAUACUAUGACCAGUCUCUAGAAAUUCCCUAUCCUCGGCUGAUUUUUUGAAUGUAUUGAAAGUCGUGCAAUUAAUUGUAAGAAGAUAUUCCUAACUGGUUGGACUUGUGACAUGAGAUAAAAAUAGUCGCAAGUAAAACUUAUCUCCCUCGGAAGGUGAUACCGUAUAGAUUCUCCCGAAAGCGUUUCUUGUUGACCGUCUGCGAUGCCAUUCCAUGUCCCGCUUGUUCCAACAAUAAUGCUCUGGAAUAUCUCUAUACAGAUAAUUUCUUGCUUGUGGAUCUCGUAGAUUCAAUGCAAAGAAUUGUGUGAGCAUUGUUUUGGAGUUGCGUUCAUUAUUUAAUACAUCUGCAAUUCGCUGAUGAUCAUAAAAGCGCACUUGAUGGCGGUUCGGCAAGUGGAUUUGAAAUCUUUCAACCUGUCAUACCCCAAAAUUUGCCCAUUAAUAUUUCAAGACAUUUUGCAAGGCAUUCCGACUCAUAUAUAACACUGAUCUUGAAGAAACAAAGGCCCAGCUCACGGAUGGCCCAAUCCAGAAAAUGGCCGCAAACUGGCCUGUUCGCUACGCGCGUCGCUAGCGAAGCUGACAGCAACAAAAAUUUCGGGCUUCAUUCUGAACAAAAAAAAAAAAAAAAAAAAAGAAAACUUUUUUUAAUUAAUUAAUUAAUAAUUAAUUAAAAUUAUUAAUUAAUAAAUAAUUAAAAUAAAUAAAUAAUAAAAUUAUAACAAUUAUUUCUGGACUUGGUCUCCUCAUUCCAAGCCAUUACCCACGAAAUUAGUCUAUAAAUACUGAAGUUUCAGUAGAGGAAAAAAACAUUGGAGUUACACUGGGAGAUUCACUGAAAAAAAGGGAGAGGAGAACAGAGAAGAACGAAGAAAGUUUGUGCAUAGGAACCUGCCUACCCCGGAGAAUUCAGAGUAAAGAACCCUGAAGGCAGCCCAUCUGCACGAAGCCAUCGCCGUCCAUUCCCGCUGCCUAACAUUCCGAUACUACAAGUGGUCAAUCCUUCAACUUGAAUUGGCCAAACAGGUUGCGUAUCUCUAUUGUUUAUCUUUCAAUUGGCCAUAUCUACAUAUAUAAUGCAUCAUGAUUAAUGUGAUAUAUAAUUUGCUUUCGUAUGGAAUUUAUAUGCCUGAAUACCCUGAAUUGAUCAUGUUAUCCUGUGAUAAAUGCCAUAAAUUCAAAGUUCCAACAUGGGGCUGUUUUCAAAUUCAAAAUCCGUGGCCGCUCGCGUAGCACCUCGCUAGCGAGCCUGGGGCGAGUAUUCGCCUGGCCUCGCUAGGCGGCAGAGGCGAACGAGACAGUAGCUGACUUUUCUAUUCUGUUUUUUUAUGUUUAUCAUAGCAUGCAUUAUUUCCUAUCCUAUUUAUUGUUGUGAUAUUUCUCCGGUGUAAUCUUCGAUUGCACCCUGAUUUGUGUUCUGACAUGUUUCUUUUUUGAGUUUCGUAAGGUUCACAUAUCCAGGAAAAGGUUAUUGGCUAGGUAUUCACUUUAUUGUGGGACCUUGUGAGUUUCACCCUAAAUUAAUUUUUAAUGUAUUAAUUUCUAAUGUAUAAUUUUUUAAUAUAUUAUUUUAAUAAUUUUAAUGUGGAGUUUCAUCUAUUAUAAUUAAUUGUAAACUUUGCCUUGAUAGUGAUCUUGGACCUCUCUUUGUUGCCUUACGAUUACGAUAUUACGGUCAUGUCCGCGGACGUGGGGAUACCUUAGCAAAGACCCUUCGGUUAAUCAUCAUAAAUAAUUAUAGUCCUCGGAUGUGCCUUCGAAUAUACAACUUUGUCCCGAUGACCCUCCGAUGUUGCCUACGGUUAAGAGAUGAUAGUCCCUUCGAGAGCUAAGGUAUCUCUGUAACUGUUGCCUUCAAUGACCAAUCGAUGACCCUCACGAUGACCCUUUUUACUCAAAGGAUAAACUACUUAUUUCUCAAUAAUAGGAAGUUUACCCUCAUAAGGAUAGGAAAUACUCAUAAGACCUGGUCGGUAUAACUCUUAAUUGCUGCGCUCACAACCUAAAACAUUUUUUCACACCUCAACACUUCAAAAUCCUCAGAAAAUCACACUUGGUAUAUCAUCAUACUAGAAUCAUUACCGAGUUAUAUUUUUCUAAACAAUUUUCAAACUAACGAAGAUAAUCACUUUGUAUACAUUCAUACAAGAAUCAUUACAAGUUAAAUUCUCUUUUCAAAAUUUUCUAACCAAUUCACAAACACUUUUUUUUUCAAAAAAUAUAAGUGAUCGAGCAAUUAGAGCCAUGGAUAACCAUGGAUCAAAGGGUGCUAACACCUCCCUUGUAUAAUGUACUGCCAACCAAAAUCUAAAUAAGGUCUUUCCUGUUCUUUUCCACCUUUCCUUAUUGGAUAAAAGAAAAGUCGGUGGCGACUCUUGCUAACCGCGACAUUGCGAUAAAAAACACAAAAAGUCCAGUUCACCGUAUGACACAACCGAAGGAUAUAAUCAGUAAAGAGUGAAUCGAAAUAUUUUCCAUAAUGACUCAGGAGCACAAAUCUAUCUUGUAUCAACAUAUUGCUGAACUUCAUCCAUGUAUGAUCCUUUAUGAACCUCCAUAGCCACACGAUCAGAGCCCUUGUACACAUAUUUGUAUAGAUACUUGAUACUUUUAAUGCUACUGCAAAUCUCUACAUUGAUGUGACAGUCAUACUUUAAAAGUAACCAAGGGUUAUAAGGAACCACCCAUUUAUUAUCGACAGAUCUAUCUCUAGCUAACGAUAUAGAUUCAUCAAACCUUCUCCUAUACUCGGGAUAUGAGUCAGUGCCUUGACGUAUUUCAUCCAAGAAUUAUUUGGGAUACCUUUUCUUACAAUGUUCGUCUUUCAUACAUGGAGACUUUCGGUUGAUUAUGCUGCAAGGUCCGUGGAUCAUAUGUUUCACAACAACUUCAUGCAACUGUGGUUCACAUUCUAAUUUAGGUAUUUAUGCUCUUACCAUACUAUCGUAAUCUUUUGGGUCACGCAAAUCGUUACUUUCUAAGACCAAUAACAUAUGCACAUGCGGCAGUCCUCGCUUUUGAAAUUCAGUGACAUACAUGUAGCUUUUAACUUUUCCCAAGACUCCUUUAUUAAUAACAUCAUCCUUCAAUUGCUCGAAUUUCGAACGAAAUAUUCUUGUUAGCAAAUCUGGACGAUCUUGUGGUGUUUGAAAAGAUAAAAGUUCUGAUGUUGUCUCACUCCAAGAAGGAUUGCAUGUCAUUGUUAUAAAAAUAUCUGGUUUACCGCCAUUAAGAAUAAUAGUUAUGCCAUCUUCAUAACAUUGUGUCAUGUCUCGACGACCGCAAAUAAAUGAUAAUGGCAAAAUUUUUAUUUUUCCAAUAUUUUCUACGAUGAUUCAUGAAAUGCAUUGGUAUUAGAAUAUAUGAAUGAUUAGCAUUAUAAGUACAACUAAUAGUUAAUAAAAAACUGUAUAUGUAUGCUAUAUGAAUUUGUACCUGCAUUAGUUUCAUCAACAUGCAAAGCAUCCUGUAAACCUUGGUACAAUUCAGCACAUAUAUCACUUUGGUUCUCUUUAAUCCACCUUAACCUCCCAGAUUCAAUUUUGGCAUAAUUGUCUAUAACAUAUUGUUGUAAUAGUCGACCCGCAUUUAACAACAUUGAUUGAUCAUUUGGACGAAUCUACAAUUGAUUGAAAAAAAUGUCGGUGCUAAAUAUAAAGUUUUUUAAACAAUGCUUAGCCAAGUAUACUAUCUACUAAAAUUAAUCUAAACUUAUCUGAAGCAUGUAACUGUAAUACGCUCGACAUGACACUCUUCGUCCAUUACAAUUUGUUGUGUUGACGUCCCAACCAUGCAUCCCAAAUGGAAAUAAUUUAGGAUAUUGCAAAGGAUCAUAAUAUCCCUUUGUCUCUUGAACUUUUUUGAGAUUUCCAUUAUGACGGAUGACAUUAAUAUCCCUUCCAUAUUCCAUAGAAUUUGCAUCACAUCCAACAAUAAUUGUCGCAACUUGUUCUGCAGUUGGAAGGUUGUAUUGAUGGUGAUUACUUGGACACUCCUUAAGUAUGAGGCUAUAUUCACUAAUAUUUGGAAGUAGUGACAGUUGCUCGAACCUAAUUACAAAAUAAUUUAAACUGAUGGAGCAUUUUCUGUAAUUUAUGAACUACAUUUUGGUGCAGCUGUGGAUUUUCCUGCAUUCUAUUAUGUAGCUCAUUAUUGGUGUCGUAGAUGUAUAGUUGUAAGAAACACGGUCUGGCACCCUCAUUUGGAUAGAAACCUCAUAUGUUAUGGUAAAAAACACCUUGAGCACGAAAUGUGUAUAUACCACGACCAGAUGCAAGAAUAUUCUCAUCAACAUGAACACCAAUUGAAGUGAAUGAGAGCACAUGGUUAUAACUUCGAAAAUGUUGCCUAUAAUGUUUUCCUUCAGCUGAAUUAUCCAAAAAUAAUUGUUGCAAUCCUGUAGGAGCAUUAACUCGUAAAAAUGAUAUCUUUCCACCAGUAUAGCACGUGUCAUGUGAUUCAUGAUGAAACAAUCUUGCAUUGCAGUGUCUACAGGUAAUUGGAUGAGGCAACCGAUAUUUUGCCAUCGUCAUGUUAUUUUUGAAAUUUCGAGCAAGAUUGUGCUUUGCUCGAAAAACAUGUCCUGAUUCUAUAGGCAGGAGUUUGAUAUUGAUUACUAAAUAUUUUUUAAAAUCUAAAAUACAAUCUAUUACUUACUAUCUACAAAAAGGACAAGGAAUUUUGGACUGACUUUUUUUAUUCCAAUAUUGCCAUUCCUUUCAUAACUGCACAUUUUUAUUUAUUUUUUAUUUAUCCAUUAAUUUUAAUAUUUAUUUAUUUUAAAACAUGUAAGUUACUAAAAAGAAUUGAAUUGUGUAUAGAAAAGUUAAGCAAUUGUUGAUUUAAGAAGUUCAUUUAAAACUACAUAUAUAACCGUUUUAGUGAUUUGUCUUUUUUUUUCUUUUAAAUUCUCAAAACAAUGAACUAAUAUGUAAAAUGGCACCGCCUGACUUUGUAAAACGUAUAAGGCAAUUGUCAGCACCGUAGUAUAUGUUCUUAAUUCUUUGUUUUGUGUUCAAAUAUUAGGUCAUUGGUAGUUUUUCAUUUGGAAUUUUUGACGUUUAUGAAACAUUUUUUUGACCUUUGUUACAACUUAUGAAACACUAAUUCAAACCAAGCAGAUGUGACGAGGGAAAAGUGAAGUUUAUUUUGUUUCUCUGACCAAGAAGUUACAUAGAAGUUAUUGAUGUCACAUUGAAUAAGAUUAGUUUAUACCUCUAUUUUCUCUCUCUAUAAUUCUCUUUAUUCUUUAAUCUCUAUUUUAUUAUUUUCUAUAAUUCUCUUUAUUCUUUAAUCUCUAUUUUAUUAUUUUCUUUAAUCUUUAUUUCAUCUGGUGGAAGGUAUCUUAUUCAUUAUCGUGCUUUUAUCAUUUUCAAUAUCUUUUAUUUUUUUAACACAUAAUCACAAAAGGUUGAUAGACGUUCACUUCGGAUGCAUUAUUAUUCUAGUUUUCAAUCAACAUAAGAAAAAGUAAAUCAAUAAUUUUAUGUUAAUUUUCAUAAUAUUUUUGAAGGAGAUAUAUAUGGAGAAGGAAAAGGGAGAAGAAGAGAAAACACCAUUUCAACCAAGACGUAUGUUUUAGCCACAACUUUAGUAAUGAUACAACUUUUGAUUUGGUAUGUUAUGAUUGAAAUUUAAAAUUUAUUGAUUAAUUUUGUUGGUUAAUGUGCUUUUGUGACAAAAUUACUGCACUUUAUAACUAUAGAAUUCUAACACUGAGUUCAAUUAUUUUUUUGUUUUGUUAUUCAAACUUACCUUUUAUAUUUCUAAAUUUAUAAUUUAUAUUUGAUAGAUUUAAAUGAUUCUGUUUCUUCAAGAUAAUUUUAAAUUUAUAAAAGAAGAUAUUUUUUGUAUAUUUUUUUCACUCCUUGCUUUUAUCACGUGUCUUAAAUUUGGUUCUAUAUCUCGAAAGAAAAUAAUGACUUAUUUAUGUAUGUUUUUAUUAACUAUAUUUUUUUUAUUUUGUUUUUAUUGCUUCUUUCUUAAGUAGAAAAAGAAGAGGAAUGGAGUCCAAUGAUGCUAUCCAUAUGGGAAAACAAAUGGGAUAUGAUAGAUCAAUAAAAGACAGAUAAAUUUAUGAUGAUAAAUAAAUGAAUAAAGAUAAAUUGUUGAGUAUAUUUAAAAAGUGUAAAAGAGACAUUUUUCAUAAUUUUAUUUCAGCAAUUCAUUGAAUAUUUCUACACUGUAGACAAAUUUUUAUUUAUUAAAAAAUGAUGAUACUAAUUACUAUUUUUUAUCUAUAGAAUAUAUACAGGGGAUAUCCCUUUUUAGUGUGACUUAUUUUUUUUUCAUUUCGUUUUUACCCUUUAAAAACUGCCAAGGAGUUAUUAUAAGCAACAAUAACCUAUUUAUUUAUAAUUGCUCUGUCUUUGUGUUAAAGAGCAGGUAAACUUGGAAAUAUAAUCCGAAUGACGAACAUAGAUAGAGAAUAACCAAUAGAUGAGAAUAUAAUAUUUGUUGUCUCUGUGUUUAAACUUUUACCAUUAAAUUCAUUGUGAUUGGAAAUUAAAUUUUUACUUUACUCAAAUGCAGAGGAGAGAUAUACUCAUUAUCAUAUUCUUUAUUAAUUGAUUUUUAUGUAGAAUUGAAUCUUUUAAUGUAAUAUAUAAUGUACAUAUUGAUCAUCACCAACCAAGUGCAACAUCAUUAACAUGUGUAAUUCUACUUGGACCGACUUCAGUAUCAUGAGUUCUUUGAAAGUGUGAUUUUGGAAAAGUCAUAUUUGUAAAAUUUUAAAAUGGAAUUCUCGACUGAUUGUUUAUAGCACGAGAUGUUUAAGGUUGUUUAUCUUGCUCUUUCCGCCGCCUAUAAUUUUCACGUCGUCUCGACAAAUAGUGGUUUUCUCUCUGCUCGUUGCUCAUAUUUUGUCUCCUCUUCCUUUCAUUUUCCACCCUUCUUGAUCUUUGUUGUUGACUUGAUAUUUGACGGGUAUUAUUUUUUAUUUUAUUAAUGUAACUGCCAAACACGUAUGUAAUUUGUGAGUACGAUAGAUAAGAAAAAUUGAACAUAUAAUAGAAACAAACAAUUCAACAAUUAUAUCAUCAAAUAAUUCAUCAUUGAACUUAAAUUGAAAUCAAAAGAAAAAAAAGAAAACAUAUACAUGAAUGUUCGACAAUCAUUAAUGAUGAGUUUGUUUCUUCUUAAACAAUCGUGUAACUUAAAUAUCCUGAAGUUAAAAAUCAGAGUAAAAACUAUAAUUGGAUAUUAUUGUUCCUAACAUGUAUAAAAUUGGAAAGAAAAGAAAGAAUCAAACAUGAGUCGAACUUUCAUAAUGUCAACAACAACAUGGACAUCAUCUUCUCCCAAUAUGAGUAUGUUGAGGUUGCUCACCAGAGACUCCAUCUAUCUUGAUAGAAACUUCAUUGUCGCUGCCACUGGAAAAAUUAAAAAGUCAAUUCAACUAAUACCAUAAAAACGAAGUCUAACUAAUAAUUUCAUAAAUUUUAAUAAUAAUUAUUUUCAAAGUAAAAGAAAAUAGAUUAGUUAAAAAAGGAAAAAAAGAAAGCAAAUUAAAGAACAACUUAAAGGGAGACUUGUGAAGAAUAGGGAGAGAAGAAAAGUUAAUGAGAUAUAUUGAGAGAAUAAAAAUAUGGAUAUAAGAUGGUGAUGAAGGCAGUUAUGCUACAUAAAUUAAGGUUUAGAAAUACGAAACUCACAAAAUUGCAAGGUUGGUUGAAAGUUGAAAUGAAAGAAAGACGGUAGAACAAAUCACAUAUUAAUGUAUGGUUAUCUAUUGCUCCAUUUUGUUUUGUAUCCUUUUUUUCACGUAUGCGUCUCGGAUGUUGUGUCUAGAAAACAAACACGGUGAGAAAGUGUGAAGGUAAAACAUAAAUGUAAAAACAGAAAAAGGAUAAUUAAUAAGAAAAAAUUGGAAUAAUGCCCCGUUUCUAAAACUGCUCCAACAUUUUUUUUUUCAAUAAGAAUUUGUUAAGGAUAGAAAUUUCCAUGUAUUAGUUAUUUAAUUAAUGCUAUGAUGAGAAGUUGACAAUGAAAGAGUAUUUGUGUAAAAAGAAAUAGUUACUUCAGGGGAAGAUGUGGGAAAUAUUAAGGCCAACCCAAAAUUUCCUAUUCUUUCUAUAUAUAAUAAUAGAUUAUAUUAAGUUUAAUAAUAUCAAUAUGUUCAGGGGCGGUGUUAAUAUGUUCAGGGGCGGUGUUGUAGAGGUCCGAGGAGUGCUACCGCACAGGACCUCCGACUUUUUAGGGUCCCAAAUUUGAUCGAUAGGGUCAAUAUAAAUAUAAGACUAACGAAUAUAUAAAUCACUAAUUCCAAUUUAAUAUAUGAUUGUAGUGUAGCCUAGCGGUGAACAUACUGUUUUGGUAGUAAUACAACCUGUGUUUGAUUCCUUGUUCUUACAGCAACCGAUAAUCUAAAUAACUUACAUUUAAAUUUAUUUAAAAUUUAAUAUCGCAAUUAACCUAAUUAAUUUUUUUUCUUUUAUUAAUACGUUUUAUAGAUCUAUGAAAAAUGUUGAGAUGUAAUUUUGAAAAUAUUUAUAUUUUUGUAUCAUUGUAAAUCAUUACAUUAAUAAAUUUGAAAUAGUAGUUAUGAAACUUUUAUUAAAUGAUAUGUAUUUUUUUUAUAAAUCGAAGAUGGUAAGAGAAGAAAGACGCGAAUAACUAAACUUCGACCUAGUAUUUUUUAUCAUCUUUGUUUCUAUAUAUUUAAUUUUAUUUAAAAUUAAAUAAAAUAUAUUUUUUUAAUUUGUUAUGUUUUUAUCUAUUAAAUAUCUAAUUUUAAAAUAGAACGGGGCCUCCAAAUUGAUUGGGACGGGCAUGAAUAUGUUUAUAAUUUUAUUAUUUUCCUUAAUUGAAAAUCUUAAAAUUUAAAAUAGAAAAUCAAACUAAAGAAAAAAAUUACAAACUUAUUAAAAUCGAGGACGCCUAUGUCUAACAAAAACAAAAAAUGAUUAGCUGGCGAAACUGAUACACAAGAUUUGGCAAAUAUCCGACAAAAAUGAAUAAAUAUUGUAUAUAACAUUAUCCAUUAUUAAAGUAUUAUCGCCACAUUAAAUUAUCUUAACAUCCACUUCAAUACGUGCUUCCAAACUUUCUUCACAUUUUCUCUCGGAAAGAAUCGAUCAUGGAAGGAAUAGAACACAGAACAGUUGAAGUUAAUGGAAUCAAGAUGCAUAUCGCAGAAAAAGGCAAAGAAGGACCGGUUGUUUUGUUCCUUCACGGCUUCCCUGAACUCUGGUGCUCAUGGCGUCACCAGAUUGCUGCUCUCGGCUCUCUCGGUUACCGUGCCGUGGCUCCCGAUCUACGAGGCUACGGCGACACCGAUGCUCCAGCUUCAAUAAGUAGCUACACAGGAUUUCAUAUAGUAGGGGACCUUGUUGCUCUCAUCGAUUUACUCGGCGUUGAACAAGUAUUCCUUGUUGCUCAUGAUUGGGGUGCUCUCAUUGGAUGGUAUUUAUGCAUGUUUCGACCUGAAAGAAUCAAAGCCUAUGUGUGUCUCAGUGUUCCCUUCCUCCGUAGAGACCCCAAAAUCAGAACCGUUGAUGGCAUGCAUGCUGCUUAUGGAGAUGAUUAUUAUAUCUCCAGAUUUCAGGUCCUUUCCAUUUCUUUGUUUAUAUAAAAUGAAGUGAGAAGUUGCUGUAAUGAUCGAUCUAUUUGUCAUAAUUGUUUUUGAUCCAUAUCACAGGAACCUGGCAAAAUGGAAGCUCAGAUGGCUGAAGUUGGCACUGCAUAUGUGAUGAAAAAUAUCCUCACAACUCGCCAAACUGGUCCUCCCAUUCUUCCAAAGGGAGAGUAUGGAACUGGGUUCAACCCCGAUACCCCUGACACUCUGCCCUCUUGGCUCACAGAAGACGAUCUUGCUUAUUUUGUCUCCAAAUUUGAGAAAACGGGCUUUGCUGGAGGAUUGAACUACUAUAGAAACUUUAACUUGUAAUGUUUUGAUUCUCAAAUUUCUGUUAAUAGUUCAUAGCUAGUGAUCACAAUUCUAAUGAGACAAAUUAUUUCUUGUAUUACAGAAAUUGGGAGCUGAUGGCACCAUGGAAUGGAAUGAAAAUCAUGGUACCUGUCAAAUUCAUUACAGGUGAAUUAGACCUGGUAUACACCUCGCUUAACAUGAAGGAGUAUGUACAUGGUGGAGGUUUCAAAGAAGAUGUGCCCAAUUUAGAGGAAGUGAUUGUGCAGAAAGGGGUGG
RNAcentral lists this long non-coding RNA (43056 nucleotides) under Lathyrus oleraceus (garden pea). Its description in RNAcentral is "Pisum sativum (pea) long non-coding RNA (PSAT_LNC008380)". Lineage: Eukaryota; Viridiplantae; Streptophyta; Magnoliopsida; Fabales; Fabaceae. The record is from RNAcentral.